This is a long non-coding RNA of Mangifera indica (mango), 2354 nucleotides long. RefSeq lists it as uncharacterized. The transcript has 6 exons. NCBI's taxonomy places the organism in Eukaryota, Viridiplantae, Streptophyta, Magnoliopsida, Sapindales, Anacardiaceae. The record is from RefSeq and is a predicted model, not a curated record.
AUAAACAUCACUUAAUAUCUGAAAUCCAUAGAUUUUUUUUAUUUUUUUACCUUGAUUUGAUUUGAGUGUGUUACAGAUCGAGUCAGAGGAGUCACUGAGACAACAAGUGAAGUGAAAAUGGCAAGCGGGUCCGAUUUACAGAAGACUCAGUUGCCCAAAAUCACUCUCCAUGUGCACAGCUCCGCAGCCUCAUCAUCUUUGGCUGGCUUCUUCCUUGAACAUUCAUUCAUUCAUCUAAUUAAACAAAAGAAAACACGUCGCCUUCUUCACAUUGCAUGAACGUGCACAGUUUAUUAUUUUCCUAUUUACUUUCUUCAAUCAUUUGCCUUCCAUGCUCUCUAUCUGAGACUUCUCGUUUGUUCUUCCACUCAUGGAUUCAACGGGUCGCCUCGACUAUGCUCUCUUUCAGCUCACUCUCACUCCAACUCGGUCGAGGGACAUUAAAUUUAAUAGUCUGGUUAUGUUUUUGUAUUAAUGGAAGUUUGAAAUGGGAUCAUAUUGGUGUGUUUUGGUUGUGUUUGUGGGUGAAGAUUUGAGCUGGUGUUGUUGUUUAGAGGGAAUAGUGAGAAAUUAGCUUCUGGGUUGUUUGAACCUUUCAUUUCUCAUCUUAAAUUUGCAAGAGAUGAAGUUUCAAAAGGGAGCUACUCCAUUACUCUUCGUCCACCAAAUCGUGACGCCCUCUGGUUCACUAAAACUACAUUUGAGAGAUUUGUGAGGUUUGUAAGCACACCGGCAGUGCUUGAGAGGUUUGUUAGUGUUGAAAAAGAGAUUUUGCAGAUCGAGGUAUUAGUUCAAUCUAUCAAAUUGUCAAACGCUUGCGUGCCUGGGCAAGUGGAGCAAGGCAGUGGGGAUGGUAAUAGAACGAAGUUGUUUGAUUCCUCUAAGCUAAAAGGUGAACUUGAAAGAAAGAAUGAUGCUGUAAAAAAAGAGAACGCCAAGAUUCAACUUCAUCGUCUGUUGGGAACUCGGAAAGCAUUGCUCCAGAAAGAGCAAGCAAUGGCUUUUGCUCAUGGACUUGUUGCUGGAUUUGAAGUUGACAGCAUAGGUGAUCUCAUUUCAUUUGCUGAUGUGUAUGGAGAUUAAAGAUUAAGGGAAGCAUGCAUAAGCUUCAAGUAUUUUGGAAGAAAAAGCAUGGCGAUGGUCUUUGGAUGGAGGAAUUAGCAGCAAUGGAGGCAUGCUCCACAUCAGAACUGUCAUUAAUGGGCACAUCUGGCAUUGUACUUACACACGAAACCAUCACCCCUAACAAGAAUGUUCUGUUAAAUUUUACAUCUAAUGCUAAUCUCAGGACAAAUGAAUCUUUGGAUAAAUCCAUUUCCGAUUCAACUGCAAGUCAUGCAAGUUCAGAUGGCAACCAAGGUAUUUCAUAAAUUUUUCAUUUCUUUCUGUGCUUAACUGUUGCAUGCACUAGAAGUCUUGAACAUCUGACUGUAUUAAGUCUGGCCAAUCAAAGGCAUUAUUACAUAUAACUUACUAAUCAUUUAAGCAGAUUGUUUAAAUUAUUUAUGCAUUAAGUGAAAUUAGAUUACUCCUAGUCAGUUUAUAAUAUUUUCUUCUUGCUAUCAUUUAAUGUUCUGAUUCCCUCAACACUGCUCUAGUUUUCUACUUAGCUGCACUUGUUUGUACAAAUGCUAAGGUUUGUCUUCCCUUUUGAUUAUGCUUUGCUCUCUUGCUACCUCAUUUACUUUGCUCAAAUUUUCUAUGGCUUUGCAAAAACCACCGUGGCUUUUAGUUCCCAUGAAUGAAGCAACAAAACAAUGAAUGCAAACAGGGCUGCUUUUCUUAGAAUCGUGAUUUCUAUUCUCAUGAUGGCAGUAUCCCAGUUUGUAUUUAGAGCAGUUACAUUAAAAGAUACGUGCAACAAACAAAUUAGCUAUUCUCUGAUGUUAAAAACAUAUUGUGCGGAUAAUAACUUGCCUGCAAAAGUAAAAGUUCCAGUAACAUGGCCAAACCAGUUACUGCAGUCUAUGUACAGUUGUCCUAUUCAACAACUGCCUCCCUAUCAAGGGUACCAUUUUCCUCCUAUGCAUCCUCACUAUGCAGGUAGUAUGCAGUGGGCUCCCAACAUGAAAGAAUCCAAUCCUGGUUUAGCUCAGGAGGUCGAUUAUCAUAGAAAUCAUAAAUCAUCUUCCCGAAAGAAAGAGAAUUUUCUUAAUAGCAAAAAUUUUAAAUAUUCGGAAGAAGAUGGAAAAGCUGAAUCAGUGACUUAGACAUUGGGAGUGAUUCAGAUUCAAACAUACAGCAAGAGAAGAAUUCUGCAACAGAGCAUGCAUGCAAGAAAAAGCAUAUGAAGAAGUCCUCCAGGAUAGUUGUCAUUUGUAAUAUUAAUUACAUUACUCCUAAGAGGAGAAAUG